CCUUAUCACUUAUCUUGUCCAGU
This 23-nucleotide microRNA is filed under the name Eisenia fetida (common brandling worm). RNAcentral's name for it is "Efe-Mir-184-o1_5p* (star (passenger))". Lineage: Eukaryota; Metazoa; Annelida; Clitellata; Crassiclitellata; Lumbricidae. The record is from RNAcentral.